Molecule: ribosomal RNA, 254 nt
Filed under: uncultured bacterium
Lineage: Bacteria
Description: partial 16S ribosomal RNA
Rfam family: Bacterial small subunit ribosomal RNA
Source: RNAcentral
UACGAAGGGUGCAAGCGUUAAUCGGAAUUACUGGGCGUAAAGCGUGCGUAGGCGGUUUGUUAAGUCUGCUGUGAAAUCCCCGGGCUCAACCUGGGAAUGGCAGUGGAUACUGGCAAGCUAGAGUGUGUCAGAGGAUGGUGGAAUUCCCGGUGUAGCGGUGAAAUGCGUAGAGAUCGGGAGGAACAUCAGUGGCGAAGGCGGCCAUCUGGGGACAACACUGACGCUGAGGCACGAAAGCGUGGGGAGCAAACAGG